UGAAGCCGGAAUUGCUAGUAAUGGCAGGUCAGCAUACUGCCGUGAAUACGUUCCCGGGCCUUGUACACACCGCCCGUCACACCAUGAGAGUUGGGAAUACCCGAAGCCUGUGAGCUAACGUUAAGAGGCAGCAGUCGAAGGUAGAAUCAAUGAUUGGGGUGAAGUCGUAACAAGGUAAC
This 179-nucleotide ribosomal RNA is filed under the name uncultured bacterium. RNAcentral describes it as "partial 16S ribosomal RNA". It matches the Rfam family "Bacterial small subunit ribosomal RNA", at positions 1321 to 1500 of the family's 1533-position model. The record is from RNAcentral.